This 402-nucleotide ribosomal RNA is filed under the name uncultured bacterium. RNAcentral describes it as "bacterial SSU rRNA". It matches the Rfam family "Bacterial small subunit ribosomal RNA", at positions 355 to 774 of the family's 1533-position model. The record is from RNAcentral.
UGGGGAAUAUUGCACAAUGGGCGAAAGCCUGAUGCAGCAACGCCGCGUGAGUGAUGAAGGCCUUCGGGUUGUAAAGCUCUGUCUUCUGGGACGAUAAUGACGGUACCAGAGGAGGAAGCCACGGCUAACUACGUGCCAGCAGCCGCGGUAAUACGUAGGUGGCAAGCGUUGUCCGGAUUUACUGGGCGUAAAGGAUGCGUAGGCGGAUACUUAAGUCAGAUGUGAAAAUCCCGGGCUUAACUUGGGAACUGCAUUUGAAACUGGGUAUCUAGAGUGCGGUAGAGNAGAGUGGAAUUCCUAGUGUAGCGGUGAAAUGCGUAGAGAUUAGGAAGAACACCAGUGGCGAAGGCGACUUUCUGGACCGUAACUGACGCUGAGGCAUGAAAGCGUGGGGAGCAAACA